Molecule: ribosomal RNA, 552 nt
Filed under: uncultured bacterium
Lineage: Bacteria
Description: bacterial SSU rRNA
Rfam family: Bacterial small subunit ribosomal RNA
Source: RNAcentral
ACGGUACCGUAAGAAUAAGCACCGGCUAACUACGUGCCAGCAGCCGCGGUAAUACGUAGGGUGCGAGCGUUAAUCGGAAUUACUGGGCGUAAAGCGUGCGCAGGCGGUUAUGCAAGACAGAUGUGAAAUCCCCGGGCUCAACCUGGGAACUGCAUUAGUGACUGCAUAGCUAGAGUGCGGCAGAGGGGGAUGGAAUUCCGCGUGUAGCAGUGAAAUGCGUAGAUAUGCGGAGGAACACCGAUGGCGAAGGCAAUCCCCUGGGCCUGCACUGACGCUCAUGCACGAAAGCGUGGGGAGCAAACAGGAUUAGAUACCCUGGUAGUCCACGCCCUAAACGAUGUCAACUGGUUGUUGGGGAUUUACUUCCUCAGUAACGAAGCUAACGCGUGAAGUUGACCGCCUGGGGAGUACGGCCGCAAGGUUAAAACUCAAAGGAAUUGACGGGGACCCGCACAAGCGGUGGAUGAUGUGGUUUAAUUCGAUGCAACGCGAAAAACCUUACCCACCUUUGACAUGUACGGAAGAUCGCAGAGACGCGAUUGUGCUCGAAAG